Molecule: ribosomal RNA, 465 nt
Filed under: uncultured bacterium
Lineage: Bacteria
Description: bacterial SSU rRNA
Rfam family: Bacterial small subunit ribosomal RNA
Source: RNAcentral
AUUGAACGCUGGCGGAAUGCUUUACACAUGCAAGUCGAACGGCAGCACGGGAGCUUGCUCCUGGUGGCGAGUGGCGAACGGGUGAGUAACAUAUCGGAACGUACCCCGUCGUGGGGGAGUAACUCUCCGAAAGGAGUGCUAAUACCGCAUACGACCUGAGGGUGAAGCGGGGGACCUGCAAGGGCCUCGCGCGAUGGGAGCGGCCGAUAUCGGAUUAGCUAGUUGGUGAGGUAAAGGCUCACCAAGGCGACGAUCCGUAGCGGGUCUGAGAGGACGACCCGCCACACUGGAACUGAGACACGGUCCAGACUCCUACGGGAGGCAGCAGUGGGGAAUCUUAGACAAUGGGCGCAAGCCUGAUCUAGCCAUGCCGCGUGAGCGAUGAAGGCCUUAGGGUUGUAAAGCUCUUUCAGGGGGGAAGGAUAAUGACUGUACCCCCACGAAGAAGCCCCGGCUAACUCCGUG